ACUGUAUAGAGUAGUAUAUAUAAAGAGAGAGACGCACAUCGCACUUGGAUAGAUACCCAUAACACACGCACACAGAGAUAGGGUUUCAAAUCUAAUCCUCAAACCAAAGUCUUUCAUUUGUUUGCUACAUAGCUUCCUCAGCUUCUUCCCAUGGCGUCCAAUUCCAACAAGGAUGUUCCCUCUGGUAUAUGCUUAUUUUUCUUGCUCAAUUACCAGUAUUUCUCGUCAAAUCUGUGAUCUUUCUUGCAUUUUCUGUUUGGGUUUUACUUAAUUUGUUAGCUACCUAUUAAUCUAAUCCCUUUUCAAGGAUUGUUUUAAGAAUCUAUGGAUUUUUUUUUGGUAUAUAAUCGUAGAAAGAGUUCAUUUCACUUCUCGAGUUCCAGGCCCAUUACUUAAUUAAUGUUAUCUUCAUCUUCUUUAAUCUUUUUUGCUUAUUUUUAGCUGGACUGGUUGAGUAUAGAACAUUAUCAAAUAAGAAAUUCAUUCCAUUCCAUUAUGGUUUACUGUACAUGCUUUUGGAUCUUACAGAAAACACUUUAUUCUAUUCAUUAGCUUGCUAUGGAUGUCUCCUGCUGCAUAUCAUAGUCAGCCUAUUGAAGUCUUGUGCUGUGACUUUAUUUGGGAAUCAGUGAUCUGCUUUAUUAAUUUUUCUUACAUAUCCUUUACCUUUUCCUAGACGAGAAAACAGGUUCUUCAGAAGGCAAAAUCCCAAAAUCAGAAAUGUCUUCUGGGGAGUCACAGUCAGGACAAGGAAGAUCUUCCCCUUCUCCAGGACCUGGAUUGGCUCCCAAUGUUUUUGAUUUCUCAGCCAUGAGUGGCCUGCUUAAUGACCCAAGCAUCAAGGAAUUGGCUGAGCAGAUAGCAAAAGAUCCUUCAUUUAACCAGAUGGCAGAUCAGCUCCAUAAAACUCUUCAAGGUGUAGGAGCAGAAGAUGAGAUCCCUCAGUUUGAUUCACAACAAUACUAUUCCACCAUGCAACAGGUUAUGCAGAAUCCUCAAUUUAUGGCUAUGGCUGAACGCCUCGGCAGUGCAUUGAUGCAGGAUCCAUCUAUGUCUCAAAUGCUUGAGAGUUUGGCAAAUCCAGCACAAAAAGAUCAGAUUGAGGAACGAAUGGCACGAAUUAAAGAUGAUCCUUCUUUAAAACCUAUAUUAGAAGAGAUAGAGUCCGGUGGUCCGGCGGCCAUGAUGAGGUAUUGGAAUGACAAGGAAGUUCUACAAAAGUUGGGUGAAGCAAUGGGUCUCGCAGUUUCUGGAGAAGCAACCACUUCCGUAGAAAAUCCUGGGCUAGAUGAAGAGGAAGAAGCAGGAAAUGAGGAUGAGUCGAUAGUUCACCAUUGUGCUAGUGUUGGUGAUGUUGAGGGUUUGAAAAAUGCAAUGGCUUCUGGCGCUAACAAGGAUGAAGAGGAUUCUGAGGGAAGAACAGCACUGCAUUUUGCUUGUGGAUAUGGAGAGGUAAAGUGUGCUCAAAUCCUUCUUGAGGCAGGAGCAACUGUUGAUGCACUGGAUAAAAAUAAGAACACUGCACUUCAUUAUGCUGCUGGUUAUGGAAGGAAGGAGUGUGUAGCCCUUCUGCUAGAGAAUGGUGCUGCUGUCACCCUUCAGAACAUGGAUGGCAAGACUCCCAUUGAUGUUGCCAAGCUAAACAACCAGCAUGAUGUACUAAAGUUGCUUGAGAAGGAUGCCUUCCUGUAGCUAGGAGUAUGAGUGGCAUGUGCCUGUUGUAGGGACUCAAGUGUGAUAGGCGAAUUUGUUCUCUAUGCUGUCUUUGCGGCUGUCAGUUGCUACAUCUUACGAUUUUAUAGUCAGUACCAUAAAAAAUUUUUUCUCCUUCUCUUUUUUUUUUUUUUAAAUGUAGCGACCUUAAUUCUCAUUAUAUAUAUUCACACAUGAACAAUUCUGUGACUAGUCGAGUUAAACAAAUAUUCCUUAUGCAUACGACAUCAAUUUAAAUCAAGCAAAUUUAACACAUUUCAUCUAUUAAUUCAAGCCUCAUACUUUGUGAUAAAAAGUACAAUCAAAAUCAACCAUCCAUUCCAUGAAAAAUGGAGAAUAAAUCUGAUCACAUCAAAUUUAUUGCAUGAUCUAGCAUAUCUCAUCAAUUCAAGACAAGAAAAAUUGGGUAACUUCAAGCUAGACGUUAACGAUUUAAUUAGAUGAAGGUUAUGGUCAAAGACAAGCAUUCAUGAUAAACUCUUCCAAAAAGAACUAAAAGUUAUCAAAAAGGUAGCACCAAAAGAGUAGGAAAAAAAAUAGCAUCCCAAAAACCUUAUCAAAAUCCAACAUCAAAAUCCAAAUAUUUACACCAAUCCCAUGAAAAAUAAAUCUUUUUUUUUUUAAUUUUUUUUAUGUAUAUCCAAACCUCCCCCACACUUAAUUUCCGCAUUGUCCCUAAUGUGAAAAAGAAUUAAUGCACAAAAAAAAAAAAGAAAAGAAAAGAGAUAAAAUAGUUUCUUGGCCUCCUUGUCUUUCUUUCUUUCUUUCUUUCUU
RNAcentral lists this unclassified non-coding RNA (2487 nucleotides) under Hevea brasiliensis (rubber tree). The record is from RNAcentral. Lineage: Eukaryota; Viridiplantae; Streptophyta; Magnoliopsida; Malpighiales; Euphorbiaceae.